CCUACGGGUGGCUGCAGUGAGGAAUAUUGGUCAAUGGUCGGGAGACUGAACCAGCCAAGCCGCGUGAGGGAGGAAGGUACAGAGUAUCGUAAACCUCUUUUGUCAGGGAACAAAGACUGGGACGCGUCCCCGGAUGAGUGUACCCGAAGAAAAAGCAUCGGCUAACUCCGUGCCAGCAGCCGCGGUAAUACGGAGGAUGCGAGCGUUAUCCGGAUUUAUUGGGUUUAAAGGGUGCGCAGGCGGAGGUGCAAGUCAGCGGUCAAAUUGCGGGGCUCAACCCCGUACUGCCGUUGAAACUGCAUCCCUUGAGUGCGCGAGAAGUAUGCGGAAUGCGUGGUGUAGCGGUGAAAUGCAUAGAUAUUAGGAGGAACACCGGUGGCGAAGGCGGCCUGCUGGACUGUGACUGACGUUGAGGCCCGAAGGCGUGGGGAGCAAACAGGAUUAGAUACCCUUGUAGUC
Molecule: ribosomal RNA, 459 nt
Filed under: uncultured bacterium
Lineage: Bacteria
Description: partial 16S ribosomal RNA
Rfam family: Bacterial small subunit ribosomal RNA
Source: RNAcentral